Molecule: long non-coding RNA, 556 nt
Filed under: Rattus norvegicus (Norway rat)
Lineage: Eukaryota; Metazoa; Chordata; Mammalia; Rodentia; Muridae
Description: long non-coding RNA NONRATT018851
Source: RNAcentral
CUCAGAAGCUCCACCUGCACUGCGGGUUUGGAACAGACUGCCUUAGCUUGUUCCGACACCUUCCAUGUCUGCUGCAGAAGUGUAUCUGUAGCUUGACAACGGUAUUCAGGAGGUGACCCAGAUCAUGCUCUCCUUCCAAAGACAGAUCGAUUCCUUGGCAGCUGUGGUGCAUCAGAACCAAUGGAGACUAGAUGUUCUUACAGUGAAAGAAGAGGAAUUGUUCCUGGAGCAAUGCAUACUCAUGGGCUAUUUGAGCAACACUGCUAAGGCUUAAGGGAUUUCUACAUGUGCAGAAACUAAAGACUCCAGCUGGUGGCACUCUUUGGGAGACGCUGGAAACGUUAUGAAGUGGGACCCAUGUGGAAGCAGUGAGUCCUUGAAGAAGGGGGUCCCUGGGAAUAUAUCCCUGCCUCUUUCCUGUAGUGAUCUCCACUUCUAUUCCUCACCACUUCAUCACCUUGCCACGAAGUCCUGCUCAAGAACAUGGGGCAAAGACUCCGUAGAUGGAACUCUCUGGAACAGUGACCUCAAAUAAAUAUUUCCUCUUUAAAUUUUU